AUUGAACGCUGGCGGCAGGCCUAACACAUGCAAGUCGAGCGGAUGAAGGGAGCUUGCUCCUGGAUUCAGCGGCGGACGGGUGAGUAAUGCCUAGGAAUCUGCCUGGUAGUGGGGGAUAACGUCCGGAAACGGGCGCUAAUACCGCAUACGUCCUGUGGGAGAAAGUGGGGGAUCUUCGGACCUCACGCUAUCAGAUGAGCCUAGGUCGGAUUAGCUAGUUGGUGGGGUAAAGGCCUACCAAGGCGACGAUCCGUAACUGGUCUGAGAGGAUGAUCAGUCACACUGGAACUGAGACACGGUCCAGACUCCUACGGGAGGCAGCAGUGGGGAAUAUUGGACAAUGGGCGAAAGCCUGAUCCAGCCAUGCCGCGUGUGUGAAGAAGGUCUUCGGAUUGUAAAGCACUUUAAGUUGGGAGGAAGGGCAGUAAGUUAAUACCUUGCUGUUUUGACGUUACCAACAGAAUAAGCACCGGAUAACUUAGUG
This 484-nucleotide ribosomal RNA is filed under the name uncultured bacterium. RNAcentral's name for it is "partial 16S ribosomal RNA". It matches the Rfam family "Bacterial small subunit ribosomal RNA", at positions 30 to 507 of the family's 1533-position model. The record is from RNAcentral.